UGAAUCUUCCCCUUAGAUAUGUUUCUCCCCCUUUGUCAUCAAUAAAAAAGACAUAGACAAAAUAAUAAAAGAAAAUAAUGAGAAAGAAACAAAAUGAUUUUCAUUGAUAAUGCCAAAAAGGCAUAAAAGAUACAACUAGCAUAAAAAAAUGUGAGCGAAGUGGGCUUAUAUAAAAAAAAUUACAAUGAUGAAAAGAUGUAAAUAUGCAGUCAUAGGGAGAAGCAUAAGAGUUUAACCUAAUUUCGAGCAUUACCAAACCCA
This 261-nucleotide long non-coding RNA is filed under the name Lathyrus oleraceus (garden pea). RNAcentral's name for it is "Pisum sativum (pea) long non-coding RNA (PSAT_LNC026844)". Lineage: Eukaryota; Viridiplantae; Streptophyta; Magnoliopsida; Fabales; Fabaceae. The record is from RNAcentral.